CCGGCGGCGUGCUUAACACAUGCAAGUCGAACGAUGAUGCCCACUUGUGGGUGGAUUAGUGGCGAACGGGUGAGUAACACGUGAGUAACCUGCCCUUGACUCUGGGAUAAGCCUGGGAAACUGGGUCUAAUACCGGAUAUGACCUUCCAUCGCAUGGUGGUUGGUGGAAAGCUUUUGUGGUUUUGGAUGGACUCGCGGCCUAUCAGCUUGUUGGUGGGGUAAUGGCCUACCAAGGCGACGACGGGUAGCCGGCCUGAGAGGGUGACCGGCCACACUGGGACUGAGACACGGCCCAGACUCCUACGGGAGGCAGCAGUGGGGAAUAUUGCACAAUGGGCGCAAGCCUGAUGCAGCGACGCCGCGUGAGGGAUGACGGCCUUCGGGUUGUAAACCUCUUUCAGUAGGGAAGAAGCGUAAGUGACGGUACCUGCAGAAGAAGCGCCGGCUAACUACGUGCCAGCAGCCGCGGUAAUACGUAGGGCGCAAGCGUUAUCCGGAAUUAUUGGGCGUAAAGAGCUCGUAGGCGGUUUGUCGCGUCUGCCGUGAAAGUCCGGGGCUCAACUCCGGAUCUGCGGUGGGUACGGGCAGACUAGAGUGAUGUAGGGGAGACUGGAAUUCCUGGUGUAGCGGUGAAAUGCGCAGAUAUCAGGAGGAACACCGAUGG
RNAcentral lists this ribosomal RNA (664 nucleotides) under Arthrobacter sp. CS17. RNAcentral's name for it is "bacterial SSU rRNA". It matches the Rfam family "Bacterial small subunit ribosomal RNA", at positions 36 to 715 of the family's 1533-position model. Lineage: Bacteria; Bacillati; Actinomycetota; Actinomycetes; Micrococcales; Micrococcaceae. The record is from RNAcentral.